RNAcentral lists this unclassified non-coding RNA (223 nucleotides) under fungal sp. RNAcentral describes it as "partial internal transcribed spacer region". The stretch from base 1 to 46 matches the Rfam family "Eukaryotic small subunit ribosomal RNA", at positions 1786 to 1831 of the family's 1831-position model. Lineage: Eukaryota; Fungi. The record is from RNAcentral.
AAGUCGUAAAAAGGUUUCCGUAGGUGAACCUGCGGAAGGAUCAUUAACACGUAUCCAAACGUUAAAACAACCCUGUAAACCUUCAGCGUGUUCUUGCAGGACAUCAAAACAGCAAUCCCGAGUAAAUCAGGCGCUAAAGAAUUACAGAUUUUGAUUUUGGGAAGUUCUGUGUGUACGUGGACGCUGCAAUUGAGCGCUAGAUAAAGCACCCUGGUACCCUAGA